ACAUACGACCAUAGGUAGUGGAGAACUCGGGGUCCCGUCCGCUCCCCCAUAGAUAAGUCACUAACCGGCAGAUUAGUAGUUGGGUGGGUGACCACCAGCGAACACCGGCUGUUGUAUGUU
Molecule: ribosomal RNA, 120 nt
Filed under: Escovopsis weberi
Lineage: Eukaryota; Fungi; Ascomycota; Sordariomycetes; Hypocreales; Hypocreaceae
Source: RNAcentral